AACGGACGCUGGCGGCAGGCUUAACACAUGCAAGUCGAGCGCCCCGCAAGGGGAGCGGCAGACGGGUGAGUAACGCGUGGGAAUCUACCAAUCCCUACGGAAUAGCUCCGGGAAACUGGAAUUAAUACCGUAUACGCCCUACGGGGGAAAGAUUUAUCGGGGAUGGAUGAGCCCGCGUUGGAUUAGCUAGUUGGUGGGGUAAAGGCCUACCAAGGCGACGAUCCAUAGCUGGUCUGAGAGGAUGAUCAGCCACAUUGGGACUGAGACACGGCCCAAACUCCUACGGGAGGCAGCAGUGGGGAAUAUUGGACAAUGGGGGCAACCCUGAUCCAGCCAUGCCGCGUGAGUGAUGAAGGCCUUAGGGUUGUAAAGCUCUUUCACCGGGGAAGAUAAUGACGGUACCCGGAGAAGAAGCCCCGGCUAACUUCGUGCCAGCCGCCGCAGUAA
Molecule: ribosomal RNA, 447 nt
Filed under: uncultured bacterium
Lineage: Bacteria
Description: partial 16S ribosomal RNA
Rfam family: Bacterial small subunit ribosomal RNA
Source: RNAcentral